RNAcentral lists this ribosomal RNA (556 nucleotides) under uncultured Christensenella sp. RNAcentral's name for it is "bacterial SSU rRNA". It matches the Rfam family "Bacterial small subunit ribosomal RNA", at positions 803 to 1361 of the family's 1533-position model. Lineage: Bacteria; Bacillati; Bacillota; Clostridia; Christensenellales; Christensenellaceae. The record is from RNAcentral.
UAAACGAUGGAUACUAGGUGUGGGGCCCGAUAGGGUUCCGUGCCGAAGCAAACGCAUUAAGUAUCCCGCCUGGGGAGUACGAUCGCAAGGUUGAAACUCAAAGGAAUUGACGGGGGCCCGCACAAGCAGCGGAGCAUGUGGUUUAAUUCGAAGCAACGCGAAGAACCUUACCAAGGCUUGACAUCCUCUGACGCCUGUAGAGAUACAGGUUCCCUUCGGGGCAGAGAGACAGGUGGUGCAUGGUUGUCGUCAGCUCGUGUCGUGAGAUGUUGGGUUAAGUCCCGCAACGAGCGCAACCCUUAUUGCUAGUUGCCAGCACGUUAUGGUGGGAACUCUAGUGAGACUGCCGGGGACAACUCGGAGGAAGGUGGGGACGACGUCAAAUCAUCAUGCCCCUUAUGUCUUGGGCUACACACGUGCUACAAUGGCCGGUACAAAGGGCAGCGAAGCCGUAAGGCGGAGCGAAUCUCAAAAAGCCGGUCCCAGUUCGGAUUGUGGGCUGCAACCCGCCCACAUGAAGUCGGAGUUGCUAGUAAUCGCGAAUCAGCAUGUCGCG